UACGGAGGGUGCAAACGUUGCUCGGAAUCAUUGGGCGUAAAGCGCACGUAGGUGGCUUGUUAAGUCGGGUGUGAAAUCCCUGGGCUCAACCCAGGAAGUGCACUCGAAACUGGCGAGCUUGAGUACUGAAGAGGGUCGCGGAAUUCCCGGUGUAGAGGUGAAAUUCGUAGAUAUCGGGAGGAACACCAGUGGCGAAGGCGGCGACCUGGGCAGAUACUGACACUGAGGUGCGAAAGCGUGGGGAGCAAACAGG
This 253-nucleotide ribosomal RNA is filed under the name uncultured bacterium. Its description in RNAcentral is "partial 16S ribosomal RNA". It matches the Rfam family "Bacterial small subunit ribosomal RNA", at positions 524 to 776 of the family's 1533-position model. The record is from RNAcentral.